GAAAAAAAAGGAGUCCUCCAGCGUAAAGAAGAAGCCCCCAGUUAAACAUUCCCCUGAAACGUGAGGAGUGCUGAUAUUCAGCUGCGAGGGACACGCCAUGGAAACUGCGAUAAACCGCAUCCAAUAAAGCAGGGAGGUAAAUGGAGUUUGCACUUCGGUUUUAAUUGCAUCUGCACCGGGGAACAGGACAUCCUAUGGCAGAGGCUUCGCUCCCGUUUGAGUCAAUUGGGGUCCCCCAUCUUCCAGAACACUUUCAGCAGGUUGCUUUUAGGCGAAUGCACGGGCGAACUGUCAGCAUGUUUUAUCGUAAGGACGUGGACACACCCUUUCGCGCUGCGGUGGAGCCUCGCCCAUACGGUUGAAAAUUAAUUCCCCGAUGUCUUCCUGUACAUAAGCACAUUUGACACAUUUCCAAUUACAGAGUUAUCUAAUUGAUGUGAAUGGUUUGAUGCAUUGUUUGUUCACGUAAACCAUUGUGCCGGAUAGAAUUAAUAUGCAUUCAAGUAAUAAUAUGUUGAACAUUAUCUUAUAUUGUAGCUAUAACUUGUUACUUAUAAAAGAUUUAUACUCUAAAAUAAAUAUUGCAGCCAAAGGGGCUCUAAGGGCAAAUAUCGGAAGGAAUCUAAGGUGUCCCACUUUUGUGCUGACAAGUUAGCAAAUGAUGUGUCCAGGAUGCUUGUGUCUGUUCAGAGAGCACUCCCACAACUCCAAUAUUGCUGUUUUCGACCACAAAUAGAGGCAGAAACUUACCUUAACCUGCACAGGUACACUUUUCAAAUUAAUGUCUGCUCCUCUUCAUGUCUAACAUCACCUUGAACUUUCUUUAGCACACUGAACUUAUUCAAAGUUUAGUGUGGUGAAAUUCCUCCUAAUGUCCACUAAUGAGAGGUCGGGCUAUAAACAGGCGAGUGGAGGGCAUCCCUGAUAGAUUAUGCGCAUCUAUGCAGGCAGAUAUCAUAUAAUUGAGAGAAUUUGCAUCUUUUUAAAUAUCUUGCUCCCAUAUUGAAAUCUAUUUAACCACUUGCAGGCCAUAUAAAUAACUCUACAAACUUCUUGGAUGACAGUGCAUAAAUGUUGCUGUAAAUUUGUGAUUGUCUCAGAAUUUUCCAUGGGCAGGGAGCACACACUGGAUAUAAUAAUGAACAAUGUUCUUAAUAUUCCAAAGGUUGUAAUAGGUCACUUGUGUGUUUUCCUUAGCAGGUUUUAUUACUACUGCUGUGCAAAUCAGACAGUUGUAAUCUCAAAACGGAGGGUGAGAACACGACUAUUCUAUUCAUGGAGGCUUUCUCUCACACCUGUACUCACUUUGGCCAAAGACCUUGGGAAAAGUUUGGGCCCCAAAACGACAAAUAUUGUUGAUACAAUCGCAACCACAACAGAAAAAAGCUACAUGUAGAAAUCCACAUCAGUAUUUCUAAAAAGAAAACAAGAGAAAAAACCAACUUCAGAUACCCAAUGACAUUUAUUUUUUAUAUAGUAUCAAAUGUAUCUUUCAAAAAAAUAUAAAUAGUGCAUCUGAUUAAUUCCCCACCAUGGAUAGAGGGACAAACCCUCCAGUUGUCAUCGUUGGGGCUGGGUGAAGUCUGGGCACCGGUGGUGAACUGGAUAAUCAAGGCACACAUAGGAUUACUCCCAAUCGCCACACUCAGAGAGCUCUGACACAUGUAAAACCUAUAACAUUUGUUAAUCAACAGGAGAUCAUUAUCUUAUGAGUCACUCAUCAGGUGCCUUGAGCAAAUCAGUUACUGGAUGUGCCAGUUUCCUCCAGCCUGUAUGUAAAAUAUAAAAUAUAAUUUUAGUAUUAUGAUCACAAAGCACUAAUGGAAAGAAAUCUAAGUCUGCACUACAUCUAUUCUCUUACCAUCUUAUCUUCAAUUUAUUCUACAUUAGUCCUUUAUGAAUUAUCUUUUAAUGAAUGUCCUUUUAAUGAUUUAAAAUAUGAUUCCUGCAUAUGUAAAGCACUAUAAAUAGCUUUGUUUUUGAAUGGUUUUUGU
Long non-coding RNA from Gadus morhua (Atlantic cod), 1994 nucleotides. RefSeq lists it as uncharacterized. The transcript is spliced from 3 exons. The record is from RefSeq and is a predicted model, not a curated record. NCBI's taxonomy places the organism in Eukaryota, Metazoa, Chordata, Actinopteri, Gadiformes, Gadidae.